Molecule: non-coding RNA, 495 nt
Organism: Erythranthe guttata (spotted monkey flower)
Lineage: Eukaryota; Viridiplantae; Streptophyta; Magnoliopsida; Lamiales; Phrymaceae
Source: RefSeq, a predicted model, not a curated record
AAUCAGGAAAUUUGCAAGAGAUAUUUAAAUAAUGAUUUUUAAGAUUUGGUUUUUGAAUUUGAAGUUUGAAAUACACAUUAACAUAUCAAAAAAUACAGUUAAGUUAGGAAUUUGUAAAGAAAAAAAGGUACAUCAAUUAUGGCAUUUCCAUCAAUUCUGUAAAUUGGAAGAUCAUUUUGACAUUGUUUCAAAAAAAAUGAUGACUUCACAAAUGAGAUUACAUAAGUGUGGUCGUAAUCUUGUGUAAAUUUAUGCUGGGAUGAUAUAACUUGAAAAGACAUGGAUUAAUUUUGCGUCAAUUUUAGGUUUUCUUACAUACUUUAUUUGCGUGGUGCAAUUGUCUCGCGUAUUAAUCGCAACUGGCAUACUCAAUAGAUGAAAAAAUCAAAUAAAAUCAUAAUAUAAACCCAACUCAAAAAAUGAAACCAAAGUGCAACUAAAUUACUUGCCUUAAGUGUUGCGCUAAUCAUAUGUAUUGAUUUUUUAGAUGCCUUC